AUGAUGGUAAUAUUUAUUGUGUCCCGUAUUUAUGGUCUUUUUUCUAUUUGUCUUUCCUCAAAGGAAAGGAAGGAAGAAAGCUCGUCCACCACCAUCCCUAGUUCAAACCCUGAUGAUGCCAUAACCAAUGCUGAACCCAGUUCUUCAACCAAGGAUGUACAUGAAUUGGAGGAGAAGAAAGAAGAAGAAAGCAUGUCCACUAUCAUCCCUAGUCCAAGCCCUGAAGAUGCCAUAACCAAUGUUGAAGCCAGUUCUUCAACCAAGGAUACAAAUGAACUGGAGAAGGGGAAAGAAGAAGAAAAUAUGUCCACCAAAAUCCCUGGUUCAAGCCCUGAUGAUGCCCUAAACAAUGUUGAACCCAGUUCUUCAAUCAAAGAUAUACAUGAAUUGGAGGAGAAGAAAGAAGAAAUCACUUCCACCAACAUCCCUUCAGCCAGUUCAAGCCCUGACAAUGCCACAAAUGAGAUCAAACUCAAUAUUUUAACGAAGGAUAUGAAUGAAUUGAAGGAGAAGAAAGAAGAAGAAAUCACUUCCACCAACAUCCCUUCAGUUGAUUCAAGCUCUGACAGUGCCAUAAAUCAGGUCGAACUCAGUUUUUUAACCAAGGAUGCAAUUGAAUUAAAGGAGAAGGAAGCCCCUGAGAUUGCAUCCACCAUAGUCUCUCCAGCUGGGCCUAGCCCUGAAAAAUCCACAACUGAUGUAAAACCAGAUUCCACAAACCCAGAUGCAGACAACUAGAGGUAAGGUGGUUUGCCCAGGAUCUUCUGUUUUUAAUUCAUUCAGCUGCUUUGUGAUAUCA
This 799-nucleotide long non-coding RNA is filed under the name Phascolarctos cinereus (koala). RNAcentral describes it as "lncRNA (ENSPCIG00000037363.1)". Lineage: Eukaryota; Metazoa; Chordata; Mammalia; Diprotodontia; Phascolarctidae. The record is from RNAcentral.